UCCCGAAUACCUUGGGUGCUGUUUUUAAUCCUAGCUGGCACCAAGAGUCACAAAAUGAGGUAGCUCAUUUCAAAUAUUUUCCUCAUGGCUGUUCUGUUUCCCCAUUCAGGAAAAAGAUUAUUGGUUACCAUGGUGAUCAGCUUCCACAGCAUUCCAUUCUAAGUAACUACACAGGUGCAGUGUUACUCUACAUUCUUUACUGUAGUCCCCUGAAGAUCUGCAUGGUUUCCCAGCCUGUUCUCUGUGACUGCUGCUUAAAAUGUCCUACAAAACAAAGUGCAGCCAGCUCAUGAAUGACUUUUCAUUAAAAGACACCCGUCUCAUGACACAUCUAUGAACAUCCCAUUGGAGGCUACCAUCUCCUGCUAAGGGCAUGGAAGUAAACUCAGAAACUGAAACAGAUGCCUUCGCCCACAGAUUCUAAAAUCAGAGGGUAUUCAUAAACCGCCCCACAAAUUUGAGAGCAUAGUGGGAAACAGGAACUGUUAAAAAAAACUGAAAUGUUACUGAAGUACUUUCUUCCUCUUCCGGUUGGGAUGUGAGCAGCCCCGGGGGAUGCUGCUGCAAACCCAGUGGGAGAGGGAGACAGGACAUUACCGGCGACACUUCGG
Peromyscus maniculatus bairdii (prairie deer mouse) is the source of this 611-nucleotide non-coding RNA. The record is from RefSeq and is a predicted model, not a curated record. NCBI's taxonomy places the organism in Eukaryota, Metazoa, Chordata, Mammalia, Rodentia, Cricetidae.